UUUGGGUUUGUUGGCUCAGGAACCCAAUCUGCAUGAUCUUGUUUAUAGCCAGCUACAAACAUUUUGCAGCGUUUUACUAAACGUUUGUGAAGUGUUGUCAUAUACAACAUCUCUUAUGAUACUUACAGAAGUCCCGAGGUAGACAGAAGACUUACCUAGUAUACUCUUUUUAUGGACAAGAAAACGGAGAAAGUUUAAAGAGACUUGACCCAGCUUAACAAAAGUAGGAAAUGGGGGACCUUGAAAAUGAUUCCAGGAUUUCUUACUAAGCAAUAUAUGGUCAUUUAAAUACUACCACCGUUAAGGAUUUUACCUUUUUAUUUUAUUUUUUCCUGUGUGAUCUACAGUGAGAGUCUGUUUUGCGUUGGUAUUCAUGGCUUGUGUUGCUGACAGUUCCCUGAAAGAAAGGUCAGGUUGCUUUACCAGACUUGAAAAAGUUUACCUAAAUCAGAAAAUAAAUCUAAUGAAGUUGCUUUACCAGACUUGAAAAAGUUUACCUAAAUCAGAAAAUAAAUCUAAUGAAGCAAGUUUUGCUCAAGAAGGAACUUGAGUAAGGAGGUGGAAUUUAUCUUGGUAGAAGAAAGCAAGUAUCCCUACAUACAACGCAGUUGAGAGAGAAAGCUCGAAAGGUGAUGCCCAGACCUAGAAAAAGGAUCCUUUGAGGAGAACCUCAACUGGCUCUGAGAAAGCAAGCUAUCAUCUUGUGAAAUGCCCUGUGGAAAAGCCCCUGUAGCAAAGGACAGCCAAUAGCCAACAGAAAGCUGAUGCCCUCAGUCCAACAGCCUGCAAGAAACUGAAUUCUGCCAGCAACCAUGUGAGAUUGGAAGCAGAUUCUUCCGUGCAGUCUUGUGAGAGAUUAUGAAGCAAAGGACUCAAGUUGUGCCCAGAUUCCUGACCCACAGAUACCGUGUGAUAAUAAAUGCAUAUUGUCUUAAA
Molecule: long non-coding RNA, 936 nt
Organism: Gorilla gorilla gorilla (western lowland gorilla)
Lineage: Eukaryota; Metazoa; Chordata; Mammalia; Primates; Hominidae
Exons: 2
Source: RefSeq, a predicted model, not a curated record